This is a long non-coding RNA of Sardina pilchardus (European sardine), 1376 nucleotides long. RefSeq lists it as uncharacterized. The record is from RefSeq and is a predicted model, not a curated record. Lineage: Eukaryota; Metazoa; Chordata; Actinopteri; Clupeiformes; Clupeidae. The transcript has 3 exons.
UCGAGGAGGAAAGCCCCGAACGUCAAGUGCGUUCUCUCGUGAGCCACAGCUACAGUACAAGAAACACUUCCGACAAGCGAGGCUUUAUAAUCGACACAGACAUCAAAGUAUUAGACAGACAGCAUACGUGCUGAUCGAUUAGGUUUAUCUCGACGAUCCACUGGACCUUUAACUCUCAGGUUCACUUCAGUCGUGAGUAGGAUUGUAGGCUACUCAACGUCGAGUUAAAGUAGCCCAACUCCACUGCGGAAGUUAAACUCCGAAGACUUCAAAACGGCGACUCUAAGAGUGAAGACAUCUUAUCAAGCGGAUACAAGGCCUACAGAAAACACGCACCUUGCAGCGGACAUGUACGGCAUAGCAGGGAUGCCAGAUCUUCUGCCGCCGACAGGCUCUCUCCAACCGAGUGUCAUGCUCAUGGCCAACCCGCUGAACGGCCCCGCGGAUCAGAAUGCUCUCCACCGCCACCCGCCUCAGAGGAUUGCACAGCGAGCUCCGAAACUGGGUCAGAUCGGGCGUUCAAAGAGAGUUGACCUGGGAGAUGAAGACUUGGACAUAACGAGCAACAACAGACGAUUCCCCAUCUCCAUGGAGGUAUCACCAGUUGCCUAAAACUGAAAGACUGUGCCAAUUCUUACCAGUCGCCUUUUUUUUUGUUGUUUUUGUUUUUUAAAGGGAGCCAAGCCUUGAUCUUUGAUCGUCGUUCAUCUCACUCACAUACUCCAUGGUAAAAUACUCUGUCAUCAUAAGGAUGUAAGACCAUUCUGUCGCCACAUUUACAUUUUAUUCAUGUAAUUCACGAUGAGAUUUAAACACUGGCUGUGACAUGGAAUGGCUUAAAUCUAAUUUUAGGGGAAAAAAAACAUCUGGUAUGGAGUGUCGGGGCUUUUUUUUCCUUUUCUCGUCUUCUGCACUUUACACAAUACAUAAAAAGCUAACUGUUAACCUCACUUUGUCAGGGUUGCAUAAUAGAGGCUAGGAAGUGUGACCGUUAUUGUUAUUUUGUUACUCAUUUGACAAGUUGGGUAUUAAUCUUUUGGAUUUUUCUUAACCUGAAAACUAGUGACUGGGAGGUUUAGCCUGGUAGAUAUUUAUGGAAGAUUCUUCCUUCAUAUCAGGUUUGUGAGGGUCACUUUAUACGGGAAAUUCUUUCAGUACAAUUAUGUUUUGUUUUUUUUAAACUAGUGUUGUGCUUUCAAAGUAAUUGUCUAGUGACAUGAUUUGUAGUGUAUGUAUGAUAUACAGUGAACAUUUUGACCUUUUUCAUGAAUAUUCAAAAUAUUUUUGCAUGGAGCAAUUUACAUUUUUUUGUAAAGUGCAAUUUUGGAAAUAAACUAUGCAUGACUGUUGAUAAAUGCAUCCUUCUAAAAGCUCAA